RNAcentral lists this ribosomal RNA (300 nucleotides) under uncultured bacterium. Its description in RNAcentral is "bacterial SSU rRNA". It matches the Rfam family "Bacterial small subunit ribosomal RNA", at positions 1083 to 1382 of the family's 1533-position model. The record is from RNAcentral.
AGUCCCGUAACGAGCGCAACCCUUGUCCUUAGUUGCCAGCACGUAAUGGUGGGAACUCUAAGGAGACUGCCGGUGACAAACCGGAGGAAGGUGGGGACGACGUCAAGUCAUCAUGGCCCUUACGUCCUGGGCUACACACGUGCUACAAUGGGCAGUACAAACGGUCGCCAAGCCGCGAGGUGGAGCUAAUCCGAUAAAACUGUUCGUAGUCCGGAUUGGAGUCUGCAACUCGACUCCAUGAAGUCGGAAUCGCUAGUAAUCGUGAAUCAGAAUGUCACGGUGAAUACGUUCCCGGGCCUU